RNAcentral lists this long non-coding RNA (838 nucleotides) under Taeniopygia guttata (zebra finch). RNAcentral describes it as "lncRNA (ENSTGUG00000021386.1)". The record is from RNAcentral. Lineage: Eukaryota; Metazoa; Chordata; Aves; Passeriformes; Estrildidae.
GGCAAUAUUUUCUCAUCUGCCCUUUAAUGCAAAUUAGAUGGUUGAAGAGGCGCUUCCAAGUAUCUACUCAGAUACACACAAUGACUGAUUCUGGAAGAAAGUGCAGGUCCAGAGUAUGAAAUGAAAACACAGCUAACACCAAGUUAGGAUCAUGGAAUAAUUAAGCCUGCAAAAGACUACCAAAAUCAUCAAGUACAGUCUUUGAACACCACCAUAUCAACCAAAUCGUGGCACUACGUACUAUGCCACUUCCCUAGGCAGUUCAUUCCAAUAUUUUUAAACCUUUCAGUAAAGAAAUUUUUGUGAUGAAGAAUUCACCUUCAGAAGAUUUUACCUUUCCUUUUGAGGAUCUCAGAAAUGUCAUAUUUACCUAAGGCUCACAGCAUCCAGUGUGGUACCAUUCCAUUUUAUAGAAGGGUAAAUAUGCUGGCAACAUGACUAGCAAAAGGCACAGGGGACAGAACUUCUCUAGCCCUCACACAUAGCCAAAGCUGCAGCAAAGUCACCCAGUGCAUUGUGGAGACGUAACCUGAAGUCAGGAAUUUCUGGGGGAAGUGCUUACUCUUUUCAUUGCUGUGUGUUCUACUUUGACUCUUCCUUGUUCCCAUUCAUAACAGGUUGGGGCCAGAACCGCAGCGUGAUGCCUGCAAAUGGAUUCUUGUGUGCCUGCCUUUAAUAUGGCCUGGGGGAGAUGGAUCCUAGCUUUUCUUCAGAUCCCAGAUAAUCCUGUGAUGCAGAAAGCUAGAAACUUUAAGCAGCUUGUUUGGUGGUACUUCUCCUGUUAUCUUGUUGAUUAAUAUUUUAGGAGGUGUUCUACUGUUGAUGAUGACACAGUAGA